UCCUUUUAAUGUUAACCGUAGAUCAAAUUUGAUCCAACGACUGAUAUCAACCCUCUCUCUUCCCUUUUUAAUCCAUUCCUAACCCUAAUCCAUUCAACAUUAGCCGCCCUCUCACUCUCUUUCUCUGCUGUCCCUUCUCUCUAAAACAAAACCGCUGUCGCUGCCUUCUACCGGCGCCGCUGCCACCGCGCCACUGCCUCCCUCCGUUCUCCUUCUAGUUGCCGCCAAAACCAUCUUCCUUCAUCUCCUCCGUGAACCAAACUGCCGCAGCCAAUCGCCGCCUUCCACCAUAGCAAUAGUAGUAGCCGACAAAGAUGCCAGCGCCGCUGCAUCUUCCCCACCAACCGACCAGCACGCACAAGCCCACAGCACCCGCUUGCUUUCGUGUUAAUUUUAGGUUGUCUUCUACUGCUUUGUUUCUUCUUUUUCUAACACAUUUUGUGAUCUUUGUUUCUUCUUCUUUUAACAUAUUUUGUGAUAUGAAUUUGGCGAAAUUCGAUUGAAAUAUUUUGAUACACAUGUGGGUUCAAAUACUUUCUUACUACUAGAUACACACGUGGUAUGCCAAUUAGUGAUAGAUUCUGGAUUCAAAUUGUUUCAAUUUGACUUUUAACCCUGAAUUUGUUGUAGUUCUAAAAUUAUGACUUCAAUUUUAAUAUUUGUUGAAAUUUUAGUAAGUUUUCAUAUGUAAAUAUUUAUUCGUGUUAAUACAUAAAAAUUGUAACGCCCCUAGCUAGCCUUAGCAUGACGAACAAGAACCAUAUGAGUGUCAGCUAUGUGCCUGACAUAUAUACAAUGCGGAGGAGUUACAAUUUACAAACAAUGAUAAGGGGCUAUGUACAACUAUGACAACGUGUGACAAUUAUAUACUGUCUAUGAAGUCUCUAAGAGAAAUUGUAAUUGUACCGAAAACAUAAUUAAAAGUACUAGAUAUUUAUUCGCUCCAGGUAAGACUGGAGCUUACCGACUGCUUUGUUGAAUACAGACGAGUGCUUUGUAUAGAAGUCUGCUCAUCAAUACAUCUGAUCCUGUAUUUACAGAACACAGUACCCCCAAACGUGGAGAUGUUAUUACAUAUAAAAUAUGUACUAAUAUGCAAAGCAGACAGAAUAACAAGUAAACGUAUAAGGAUGCUCAAUGAGUCAAACAGUAGAAUGAGCAACUUCGGAUGACUGAACACUAGAACCUCUUGUAUGAAACUAUAACUUAUGAAAAC
Molecule: long non-coding RNA, 1216 nt
Filed under: Capsicum annuum
Lineage: Eukaryota; Viridiplantae; Streptophyta; Magnoliopsida; Solanales; Solanaceae
Description: long non-coding RNA (CANN_LNC000890)
Source: RNAcentral